CCUACGGGAGGCUGCAGUGGGGAAUAUUGGACAAUGGGCGAAAGCCUGAUCCAGCAAUACCGCGUGUGUGAAGAAGGCCUGAGGGUUGUAAAGCACUUUCAAUUGGGAGGAAUACCUAUCCCUUAAUACGGGGUAGACUGACAUUACCUUUAGAAGAAGCACCGGCUAACUCCGUGCCAGCAGCCGCGGUCGUACGGAGGGGGCGAGCGUUAAUCGGAAUUACUGGGCGUAAAGCGUGCGUAGGUGGUUUGUUAAGUCAGAUGUGAAAGCCCUGGGCUCAACCUGGGAACGGCAUUUGAAACUGGCAGACUAGAGUUUAAGAGAGGGGAGUGGAAUUUCAGGUGUAGCGGUGAAAUGCGUAGAGAUCUGAAGGAACACCAGUGGCGAAGGCGACUCCCUGGCUUAAAACUGACGCUGAGGUACGAAAGCGUGGGUAGCAAACAGGAUUAGAUACCCCAGUAGU
RNAcentral lists this ribosomal RNA (463 nucleotides) under uncultured Methylococcales bacterium. Its description in RNAcentral is "bacterial SSU rRNA". It matches the Rfam family "Bacterial small subunit ribosomal RNA", at positions 338 to 794 of the family's 1533-position model. The record is from RNAcentral. Lineage: Bacteria; Pseudomonadati; Pseudomonadota; Gammaproteobacteria; Methylococcales.